Molecule: long non-coding RNA, 301 nt
Organism: Papaver somniferum (opium poppy)
Lineage: Eukaryota; Viridiplantae; Streptophyta; Magnoliopsida; Ranunculales; Papaveraceae
Exons: 3
Source: RefSeq, a predicted model, not a curated record
GCAGGUUUUGCUUGAAGCUAAAAGUGGAAAGUUGCACUGGCCUAAAAAACCAAGGAGGAGUUUCCCUCAUGUUGUCACUAAUUGAGCAAUGGAAAAGUUUAUCAGAUAAGGGAGUAUCGACCAAGAUUUUGAAAGUGCACAGAGAUGGGGUUGUGAAUCAGAAUCCAUCUAAAGAAGCAAGCAACCCAAGUUUUUUAUACCUGUACUUGCCAAAAUUAAUUGGCACUAUGUAUUGUUUUUUUAUGGACAUAUUCUUUGUAUGCAGUGAAGACUUUAUUGACUGUUUUAUUUUAGAUUGAAA